This is a long non-coding RNA of Sapajus apella (tufted capuchin), 2923 nucleotides long. RefSeq lists it as uncharacterized. NCBI's taxonomy places the organism in Eukaryota, Metazoa, Chordata, Mammalia, Primates, Cebidae. The record is from RefSeq and is a predicted model, not a curated record. The transcript is spliced from 3 exons.
AUAUCCAUAGGAAUAUAUAGAUAGGAAUUCCUCAAUGGAGAGAUCAUGCCUUACUCAUCUGUAUUUUUUAAACUUAACAAUAUACAGUACUCUGCACAUGACAGCUAUUCAAUAUGUUUUGGCUCAACACGUGAAUGAAUGAAGAAAUAAACUAAUAUAAAGCUUUCAGGUAACCAUAUUUUAUGAUCCAUGAUGUUCAUUUUAAAAAAUUCAGCCUCUCCCCCAACUGAAAGAAAUUGAGUGUGCAAGAUCCAAGAAUAAAGUAAGAUUCUGGAAGAGUUAUACCACACACCAUUUCUCUGAAUAUUCAGGGAGGAGAAUGAGGAAAAUCUUUAUUAUGUCUAUUCUGCAAGUAAUGCCAUUCUCAAGUAGUUCUGGAAAUAAAGUAUAUCUACUUACAUUUGUAUAGUUAUACAAAGAUUUUUACGCACUUUAUCAGCUUACUAAUUACUGGGGCCUUGCUUUCCAUUUGAGGAAGCUGGCCUAUGGUCCUAUUGCUUUAAGAAGAUAAAUGGAUUACAAAAUCACCAUCAUGGUUGGAAUGUGAAAGAACAUGCUAAAUUAGGAGAACAGUGGCCUCUUUUUUUUUUACAGUAAUUUAUGAGUGGUGACAGAAAUAAAUGUCUUUGGAUGACAAUAGGGCUGUCAGUAUCAAAUGAUAAUAUCACACUUGUGGUUAAAUAAGCGACAUCUGUCAGGGAGUAAGAUGUGUAGAGCAAUCAGUAUACUUGUUAGAAUCAUAAUGCUCAUAUUAAAAUAAUUCUGGCUAUCAUUUUCCUUAGUUCUAGCUUUUUAUUUAAAUUUCUAUCCUAUUGAUAUAUUAAAUAUCCAUUUUAAUGUGAACCAUACUAAAUCACUUUAAAGAAAUAGAUGAGGGUGUGAACAAUUCUAAAUAGAAAGAAAAAAGAAACUAAAACUGAGCCCAACCAAUUUCUUAACUAUUUCCUUACAAUAAGGUAGUUAUUGGGAUAAACACAAUAACCACUCAAAAAUCAAGAUUAUAUAACUCUAAACAAUGCAAUGGUGACCUGAGUCAUUUAGCUGCACAAAUACACAGCAGGUGAAAUGACAGCAUCUAAAUCACACAUUACCUGGGAAAAUAAAAAUAAAAUAUUUAUACGAGAGCAGUUGCUUGAUAAAUGUAUCCUACUUUUCUUCAGUGUUUAGUUUUGAAUAAUGGCCAGACUUGUCAAUGGCUUUGCCUUGACAAAUUUAUCUCACAGUCAGCAGCCUUAUCUUGAGACAACAAUCUAUUCCUUUAUGUUAUCUUGCAGAUCGUAACUGUUUAAUAUUCUCAUUGAAAAUUUCCUAUCAAUUUUGUUAUUUGUGUCAUAGGAUGCCAAACUUUCUAAUAAAGUAUAUUGGCAUAUGGCUUGCAACUAAAAUUUCAAAAUAAUAGGUAUAUAGUAGUUUUGUGGCUGUUGUUUACAUAUAUAUCCCAAAGGGAGAAAUGUUAUGAAAAGCAAAGCAAAUGCUAACAAUUUUUUAAAUUCAGAUUUCUUUAGAUUGCAUAUAAACUCCUGAGAAAGUUCAUAGACUUGCAGCUUAAAGAGAUACAACAAUAUUUUACUUAUUAACAUACCAGUCACAUCCCAUCAUAUUAGAUGGAGUAGCCACAUGGCCAGUUACUUAGAGAACUGAGGAAGUUGCCAGGAAUUUGUAACCAUUGGCAAUCUUCUCACUAAACAUAUUUUUUUCCAAGUGUUGUUGCUCCUGUGGCUACAGGAGGCUUCUCACAGCAUACAAACAAAGGAAAAAUUCAAAGGCAAAUUCUUUAAGGGAGCAUUGUUUGUAUGGCUAGUUCAUUUCGAAACAUUCAUACUGAACAGCUAGACAAGAAUUUGUACUAGUUAGACCUUGACUUCCCCUCCAUGAACAUUCAGUUUAAUUUACUCAUCUAAGGCUCAGAGCAUUUUUAUAAUUUGCCCAAAUCUACCUAGACAGGAAAAGAGGAAAGACAACCAUAUAUACUGGUAACUCUUCCAGAAACAUCUAAUCUAGUGUUCUUUCUACUAACCAUUGUUCUUAAAAUUCACAUGAAAUAUUUACUAAAAAUACAUAUUUCUUGGUCCCUACCCCAAAUGUGGAGUGAAACCAAGGGAAUUUUCAUUUUUCCUGUCUAGAGUAUGGUGAUGUAGCAACCUAAAAACAUGUUUUGAGACAUAAUUUUCUAUGCUACAAUAUUUCUUCAUAAAUAUAAAAUAAUUGUUCAUUGCUUUGGUUAACAUGGUAGCUUUCUCAACAGAUUUCUUAGACAUUCAGUUCCAGCAUAGCUAAUGCAGACUGAGGUGGGGAGAAAAUUAAAUGGUGUGUGUGUGUGUGUGUGUGUGUGUGUGUAUGUGUGUGUGUGUGUGUGUGUGUGUGUGAGUGUAUUAAGGUGCAAGAUAAAAGUAAAGAAUGGAUUGGAUAGAGCCUACUUACAAAUAAGCCAAGAGUAGAAGACACAUCAAACUGAUUCAAGAUCCACCCACUUUUCUAUAUUAGGGCUACUUUUAUGUUUGUAUUUCUUUCAGUGUAGAUCAGUAUGUGUGCUGGGAGCCAAAGAAAAGUUAUUUCAAAGUAGAGGUUUGGUGCCAACUUCUCCCAUAGGGAAUGAGAAGACUCUAAGAGCUUCUUGCCCUAAUGAUGGCAUCAUCCCCCUCACUUUUUUCUUUGCUGUCCUUACUAUGCACCUGCAAGUCAGUCACAUUCUGUUGUACAUUGCCAGUGCGGUGUGAUUAAUGCUCAAAGGAAACACAUCAUUUCCCACAUGAUCCAGUACUAUACUCUCUAUGCCCCUCAUUCAGUGGUCCUUCUCAGCAGGGAGUCCCAGGCUGGGUCUCAGUACUUAACUCAUAGGUAGCUAGUUUCUGAUGAAGAUAAGAGACCAGUGGUUGAAUACCAUGGUAAUAACAUGCCAUUUAAUAAUGAAAAGCAAGAUGAG